UUGGUUAAGUUAGAAAGGGCGCACGGUGGAUGCCUUGGCACUAGGAGCCGAAGAAGGACGGGACUAACACCGAUAUGCUUUGGGGAGCUGUACGUAAGCGUUGAUCCAGAGAUUUCCGAAUGGGGGAACCCACUAUCUUUAGUCGGAUAGUAUCCUUACGUGAAUACAUAGCGUGAGGAAGGCAGACCCAGGGAACUGAAACAUCUAAGUACCUGGAGGAAGAGAAAGAAAAAUCGAUUUCCUGAGUAGCGGCGAGCGAAACGGAAAGAGCCCAAACCAAGAAGCUUGCUUCUUGGGGUUGUAGGACACUCUAUACGGAGUUACAAAAGAAAGUUAUAAAUGAAGUGGUCUGGAAAGGCCCGCCAAAGACGGUAACAGCCCGGUAGUUGAAAUGGCUUUCCCUCCAGAGUGGAUCCUGAGUACGGCGGAACACGUGAAAUUCCGUCGGAAUCCGGGAGGACCAUCUCCCAAGGCUAAAUACUCCCUAGUGACCGAUAGUGAACCAGUACCGUGAGGGAAAGGUGAAAAGCACCCCGGAAGGGGAGUGAAACAGUUCCUGAAACCGUGUGCCUACAAGUAGUUAGAGCCCGUUAAUGGGUGAUAGCGUGCCUUUUGUAGAAUGAACCGGCGAGUUACGAUUUGUUGCAAGGUUAAGCGGAAAAAGCGGAGCCGUAGCGAAAGCGAGUCUGAAUAGGGCGCAUAAGUAACAGGUCGUAGACCCGAAACCAGGUGAUCUACCCAUGUCCAGGAUGAAGGUAAGGUAAUACUUACUGGAGGUCCGAACCCACGCACGUUGAAAAGUGCGGGGAUGAGGUGUGGGUAGCGGAGAAAUUCCAAUCGAACUUGGAGAUAGCUGGUUCUCUCCGAAAUAGCUUUAGGGCUAGCCUCGAGGUAAAGAGUCAUGGAGGUAGAGCACUGUUUGGACUAGGGGCCCUUCUCGGGUUACCGAAUUCAGAUAAACUCCGAAUGCCAUGUACUUAUACUCGGGAGUCAGACUGCGAGUGAUAAGAUCCGUAGUCGAAAGGGAAACAGCCCAGACCACCAGUUAAGGUCCCCAAAUAUAUGUUAAGUGGAAAAGGAUGUGGGGUUGCUUAGACAACCAGGAUGUUGGCUUAGAAGCAGCCACCAUUGAAAGAGUGCGUAAUAGCUCACUGGUCGAGUGACCCCGCGCCGAAAAUGUACCGGGGCUAAACAUAUUACCGAAACUGUGGAUGAACCUCUUUAGAGGUUCGUGGUAGGAGAGCGUUCUAAGGGCGGUGAAGUCAGACCGGAAGGACUGGUGGAGCGCUUAGAAGUGAGAAUGCCGGUAUGAGUAGCGAAAGAAGGGUGAGAAUCCCUUCCACCGAAUAUCUAAGGUUUCCUGAGGAAGGCUCGUCCGCUCAGGGUUAGUCGGGACCUAAGCCGAGGCCGAUAGGCGUAGGCGAUGGACAACAGGUAGAGAUUCCUGUACCAGUGCUAAUUGUUUAACCGAUGGGGUGACACAGAAGGAUAGGGAAUCGCACGAAUGGAAAUGUGCGUCCAAGCAGUGAGUGUGAGAAGUAGGCAAAUCCGCUUCUCGCGAAGCAUGAGCUGUGAUGGGGAAGGAAAUUAAGUACGGAAGUUCCUGAUUUCACGCUGUCAAGAAAAGCCUCUAGGAAGAGUAGUACUGCCCGUACCGCAAACCGACACAGGUAGAUGAGGAGAGAAUCCUAAGGUGAGCGAGAGAACUCUCGUUAAGGAACUCGGCAAAAUGACCCCGUAACUUCGGGAGAAGGGGUGCUCUAUUAGGGUGCAAGCCCGAGAGAGCCGCAGUGAAUAGGCCCAGGCGACUGUUUAGCAAAAACACAGGUCUCUGCAAAACCGUAAGGUGACGUAUAGGGGCUGACGCCUGCCCGGUGCUGGAAGGUUAAGAGGAGUGCUUAGCUUCGGCGAAGGUACGAAUUGAAGCCCCAGUAAACGGCGGCCGUAACUAUAACGGUCCUAAGGUAGCGAAAUUCCUUGUCGGGUAAGUUCCGACCCGCACGAAAGGCGCAACGAUCUGGGCACUGUCUCAACGAGAGACUCGGUGAAAUUAUAGUACCUGUGAAGAUGCAGGUUACCCGCGACAGGACGGAAAGACCCCGUGGAGCUUUACUGCAACCUGAUAUGGAAUGUUUGUACCGCUUGUACAGGAUAGGUAGGAGCCGAAGAGACGUGUGCGCUAGCAUACGAGGAGGCAAUGGUGGGAUACUACCCUGGCUGUAUGACCAUUCUAACCCGCCACGCUUAGCGCGUGGGGAGACAGUGUCAGGUGGGCAGUUUGACUGGGGCGGUCGCCUCCUAAAGAGUAACGGAGGCGCCCAAAGGUUCCCUCAGAAUGGAUGGAAAUCAUUCGC
RNAcentral lists this ribosomal RNA (2354 nucleotides) under Listeria monocytogenes. Its description in RNAcentral is "partial 23S ribosomal RNA". It matches the Rfam family "Bacterial large subunit ribosomal RNA", at positions 1 to 2345 of the family's 2925-position model. Lineage: Bacteria; Bacillati; Bacillota; Bacilli; Caryophanales; Listeriaceae. The record is from RNAcentral.